UAGGGAAUCUUCCACAAUGGACGCAAGUCUGAUGGAGCAACGCCGCGUGAGUGAAGAAGGGUUUCGGCUCGUAAAGCUCUGUUGGUAGUGAAGAAAGAUAGAGGUAGUAACUGGCCUUUAUUUGACGGUAAUUACUUAGAAAGUCACGGCUAACUACGUGCCAGCAGCCGCGGUAAUACGUAGGUGGCAAGCGUUGUCCGGAUUUAUUGGGCGUAAAGCGAGUGCAGGCGGUUCAAUAAGUCUGAUGUGAAAGCCUUCGGCUCAACCGGAGAAUUGCAUCAGAAACUGUUGAACUUGAGUGCAGAAGAGGAGAGUGGAACUCCAUGUGUAGUGGUGGAAUGCGUAGAUAUAUGGAAGAACACCAGUGGCGAAGGCGGCUCUCUGGUCUGCAACUGACGCUGAGGCUCGAAAGCAUGGGUAGCGAACAGGAUUAGAUACCCUGGUAGUCCAUGCCGUAAACGAUGAGUGCUAAGUGUUGGGAGGUUUCCGCCUCUCAGUGCUGCAGCUAACGCAUUAAGCACUCCGCCUGGGGAGUACGACCGCAAGGUUG
RNAcentral lists this ribosomal RNA (550 nucleotides) under uncultured bacterium. Its description in RNAcentral is "bacterial SSU rRNA". It matches the Rfam family "Bacterial small subunit ribosomal RNA", at positions 355 to 896 of the family's 1533-position model. The record is from RNAcentral.